UCGAGUUGGCGUCGCUUCGUUCGCCUCGCCUCGUUCAGUCACGCACGUCACAUCAGUUUACUCGCUCAGCUCAGUUGAGUAGUGAUCUCGAUAGCCGGCGAACCGUACGCACGGCGCACACGUGCCACUCGCGCCCAACCAUCCCUUUUCCGUUCCGCAAUAUUCCGAUCCAAGCGAUUUCGCCGUUUAUUCGGCGUCGCUAUCCUAUCAUACGACAACCCGUCGAUACAAGUCAUUACGCGCCAUACCCAUCGAUGCCUUACCUACUUUCGUAUCAUACUAAGUAGGUAUAUACACAAAAUAAACAUUGCAUCCAAAACAACCACGUGUGCGCACCGGCCGGCAUAUAAUCAAUCCCUUAACCAUCGACUAUCCAAAAGUCCACGCUCCGUAAUUUGAAAAAUCUAUAUCAUGAAUUAAAAUAACUUGGUGUCUAGUAAUAAAAAACAUUCCAAUUUAACAUCGUCAGUAUUUUAGUUACCUGUAAUCGUGUCGUUAAUAUUAUUAAUUCUUUAAAAAAAUCAGUGAAAUGUCUAAUUCCGUGGAGCAGCAAUUCAGCGAGCUUAAUCUGUCACAGGAGGAUCAUGAUCAAAUAUUCGAACAAGAGGAUCACCAAGACCAAAGCCGAUCAUCAAAGGUGGUACUCAUCAGUGGUCUGCCCCUGCAUUUUCGCUUCGACAACAUCGAGCACCAACUCGCACAGUAUGGCAACGUGCAGCAUUGCGACAAAGCGACCUCGCGUGAUGCCAACACCCAAGCGGUGUACAUAACGUUCGAGACGCCGGAGCAGGCGCAGCUAGCUAUCAAUGGCUUGAAUGGGUGUGAAAUAGAGGGCAGCCGAAUGAAAGUGGAAGCCGCAGAGCAAAACGCCCGGGGCGGGCGGCGUGGCAGGCCAGGCGGCGGCCGUGGGGGUGGCGGUGCAACCGGCGGCGGCUCGCGACCCACCGAUUUUCCAUUACGGUUAUUGGUACAAAGCGAUAUGGUCGGAGCGAUCAUAGGUCGACAAGGCAGCACUAUACGUCUUAUUACACAGCAAAGCCGCGCUCGUGUUGACGUACAUCGCAAAGACAAUGUGGGCUCCCUCGAAAAAGCCAUAACAAUUUACGGCAACCCCGAGAACUGUACCAAUGCGUGUAAAAGAAUACUGGAGGUCAUGCAACAGGAGGCAAAUAACACUAAUAAAGGUGAUAUCUGUCUUAAGAUUUUGGCUCAUAAUAAUUUAAUAGGAAGAAUUAUUGGUAAAGGUGGGAAUACCAUCAAAAGAAUCAUGCAAGAAACUGAUACCAAGAUUACAGUAUCUUCAAUCAAUGAUAUUAACAGCUUCAAUUUAGAGCGGAUUAUCACCGUUAAAGGAUCAAUUGAAAAUAUGGCUAAAGCGGAGUCACAAAUAUCAGCUAAAUUGCGCCAGAGUUAUGAAAAUGACUUGCAGGUGUUGGCACCGCAAAGCAUAAUGUUCCCGGGGUUACACCCGAUGGCAAUGAUGUCAACAGGCCGCGGCUUCUGCGGAGCUCCGCCGCCAUUCCCGCCGCCCAUCUAUGCGCCACUGGCCGGUCAGAGUGGAGCGCAACAGGGUGCUGGUGAUUCGCAGGAAACUACUUACUUAUAUAUACCCAACAAUGCGGUAGGCGCUAUCAUCGGUACUAAAGGCUCCCACAUCCGUAACAUAAUUCGGUUCAGUAACGCGUCUGUGAAGAUCGCGCCGCUGGAACAGGACAAACAGGCCGAGAGCCAGAACAACGCGCAGCAAGAGCGGAAGGUCACAAUCGUCGGUAGUCCUGAAGCCCAGUGGAAGGCGCAGUAUUUGAUCUUCGAGAAAAUGAGGGAAGAAGGUUUCAUGUCGGGAUCUGAUGACGUCCGACUGACUGUCGAAAUAGUUGUCGCUUCGUCUCAAGUUGGGCGGAUCAUCGGCAAGGGUGGUCAGAAUGUACGGGAGCUACAGCGCGUGACCGGCUCCCUGAUCAAGCUGCCAGAGCAGCCGCAGCAACAAACUGGUCAGCAGCAAGACCACGACACGACCGUGCACAUCGUGGGACCGUUUUACAGCGUCCAGCGACCAUCUGAGGCCGGAUAAGACAUGUGAAGAGAGAACCUGUAUAAGGAUUCGAUUGUUCUAUGUGAGCCAGUGAAAUGGCCCUACAUAUACUGGCCAUUUGUACCUUUGAUGCAACUCUCUAUAGUCUGCCCAACGGCGUAUCCGUGCUAUGGUGGCGCAGGCUAGUGCGCCGGGCCGCCGCCGCGCUGCUCAGCCGCCGCCCGCACAGCAGUAAACGGCCUCCGAUACCCCUCUACCCCGCGCGCCCCGAUCACCACCUCACCCUAGCCCUCGCCACACAGUCAGCCUCGGCCAGCCUCCGCCCUCGGCAGCGUGCUCGAUCCCGAGGCCGCCGCCCCUAUCUCACAGGCCAGUAGCGCGUUAUAUCUCUAUUAGCACAGUUAGAGUAGCCGGCGCACCUACGUUGUACAGACUGGACACGCCCGCUCCCCGUCUACCGAACACUGCGCAGGCAGGCUGUUGUGUUGACAGCAUGUGUCCAAAUGUUAUUGUUGACAUAAUUAUAUUAUUGUAGUGAAUUGUAAUUAAAUACUAUUGAUAAAUCCAUAUUUUAUCCCGGGAUUAACUAUGUUGAUGAUGAUUGAUAUUUGAAUAUUAUAUAUAUUAUUCAUAUACACAAUUUUUUUUAACGAUAGUGACAGUUAUAUGAAUUUAUUGCCGUGAAUAUAUUUAAUUGUUAUAAUUGUUUUCCUACCAUGUUAUGCUACUACAUUGUAAAGAGUUGUCAUAGAAUGCAAUAGUUAACGAUUACGUUCUCUAUACAUAUACACAUGUUGAUAACAAUAGCUAUAGUAUCUGACCAUUAUAUACAAACGAGAAGAUUGCAUAUUUUGUUUUGUUAUAAAGUAAUAGAUUAAUCUGUUGAGAUCACUACACUGCUGUUAAAUAUAAUUUUUGAAAGGGUGUGUGUGUGGGAUAUAAACCAACAGUAGGAACGGAUAAUGCACACGACUUUGCUUUAUCGAGGAGGCUCAAUGGAAUAACGGAUGCUUGGCGAGUAUAUUGUAAGAAUAUUUUCUUUAAAACGAUACAUGGAAUUUCUGCAUGCAUGCUGAAGAAAACGUGUUGUACAAUGGUUUUCUAGAAUCAACUUAUGUGUUGGGUGUUAAGUAACUAAUCCAAAGAGUGAACGCCGAUCGCUUGUCGAAUUGGCACAGUGUUGUGACGAGCCUUGACUAGACCAGAGGGCGCGGCCGCGUCGGCGCCCGCGGUCUCUCGCGCCGGGCAGCCACGAGGCACUCGCAAGCGCUCUCGCCAUUACGGAAAUGAUAAUAUCCAUUCUGUGGAUAAAUAUUUUUGAUAUAAUAGUAAUUGUUGGAGUGUAAGGAGUUUUAAUUUGUAAGUGACAUUUGUUGAUUCGUUUUUUUGUAAUUUUGUCUUUGUUAGCUUUAUAAUGUUUUCUUAACGGUGAUUUUGAAAAUUAAGGCGAUAUCGUAGCGUUAAUGGUGCGAAUGAAAGCGUCGCGUAUUGGUCGGUUCUAUCGUGAUAUGUUUUAUUGUACGAUUUGCGUUAUACUUGUGCCAAGUGAGAUAAUUAAAUAUGAGAGAUUAAGAUUAAGUGAGUAAUAUCAAAAUUAAAGAAAAAAAAACUUAGAUAUUUAUAUUUAUAAUUGUGAUAAUAAUAUAUGGAAGUUUUGGCAAAAAUGUUACUAAGAAUGUUAAAUCAUUCUUAUUUCCAUUUUCUCAAUUUUAGGUUAGAUUAUAAUAAAAUUAUAAAUUAAGUUAUAGGCGAUGUUGGGCAUAAUUAUAUAGUAGAAAUGCGAGUGCGCAGCACGCCUUGAAGGUCACGAACUGUACCAAGUGCAGGACGUGCGGCCCACAAAGCCAUUGCGUGGCGGCUGGUGGCGCGUGCUCAUCUGCAUAAUACAAACCCGUUAUUUUAUAACAUUAAAAACCCAAAUAAUUUGUCCCAAAUGCAUUAAAAUAAUUUUCAUUUCAUAUCUGUCUCUUUGAUAAUUAUGACCCUUUUGUGUAAAUAUUUGCACAUCAAGUGUUUGUAUAUUUGCGAAUCUUGAAUUUUAAAAUGCUAUUUUCCAAAUACAUAUCCAUUUUAUUAUAAUUGGAUUUGCACAGCUAUGAUCUGUAAUUUCUCAUAAUUUUUAAACACCUGUGGUCUGAUCAAUUGGCCAUCAACAGUUUUGUAUUGCUUCCACAUAUUAUUGAAAAUUAAUCUCACUUAUUGGCAUUUCAUUUGUUGUGACGGUUCCAUAACUUCACUAACCGAUCGGGCAAAAUGCGUAUAUACUACAAUAAUGCAUUGAAAGUUUUGUUUGUAAGCUAAUAUUUGACAUGAGAGUAACUAUACAAAUGAACAAAAUAAUAUGAGGCUGAUGUCGACUAUUCACAAAUACGUUUAACUAUUGAUUAGUCAUAUCAAUGAGGGGUACCUUUAUUACAUUAACAUACUUAUUUGUCGUGGUCAUUAUUCCUUAAAUUGAUGCAAUAUAAAGUAUAUGAACAUAUAAUUAAAAAAAUAUUACGAUCUAUAAAUGUUUACUUAUUUCUUUAUCAAGUCAUGAGUUUAUCAAAAACAUAAUUAAAAUUUAUUGGUUGUCAUUUGUCAAAUAUUAGAAAGUUGUUUAUUACUAUUGUAUCAAGGGCAGUUUUUACUAUGAAACACUUAGGGGUAAUUAUAUAUUUUCCGUUCUAAUCAAUUUUAUAUAACCGGAAGUGCAACUUAAAAAAAGCCCUUAAUAACAUUUCAGGCCUAUGCUCAAAGGCUUAUUUAUACGCUUUUGGUAUUAAAGAACCGUAAAAAAUUGAUUAAAAUAAUAGGAUAGGUUCCAAUUAGAAAAAAAAAAAACUUACCGAGAUUGUACCGUUUUACUAUUGAAAGCCAAGUUAAUGUGCUAUUUAUGACCCAAAAAUAUGACUUCGUUAUAUGUUCGAUAUAUUAAUAACAAUAUUUCAUUGACCGUUUUACUAUAAUAUAUACUUGCAUAUUUUAAAUGUAUAAAUGUUAUGGUUUUAAUAUAAAAAUAGUGCUGUUUCCAAACACGCUACGGAAAGUUUUAUAUUAGCUUUCGAUAUAUAUGCGUAAUAUGCGGUUAUUGGCUUUCAAAUCCAUUAUUCGCUAUGCUGUUCAGAAUUCGGACAUUAUUACACGUCCAUAUGAUGAACUCCUUAUCAUUAUCGAAAACACACUAUUUUAAGUCGGUGAUGUCAUAUAAUCUAUAACGCUAUGAAAUAGGCGACUACCUCAGAAUAUGCACAAAUUUUUAUUAUAUUUGGCAAAUAUAACUGUUGUAUAUAUAGUAUAGUAUAUUUAAUAAAUAAACUAUGAAUUAUAUAUAUGUGAAAUAAUUUUCAUGCGUUUGAAAUUAAUUUUAACCUAAAAAAUCUUUAUAAUCAAUUUGUAAAAUGAAAUGAUUAGAUUUUUCACUACUGUAUGAAAUUAGCGACACCUAGAAUAUAAAUUAAUUACGCUGUUAAGUGUAAUUAAGACAUGAUUUCAUACUAUAUUGUGCCAAACUAUAAAAUUGCUGUGUCUAUUCUCGCUCCUGCCGAUAUGACACCAUGUAUGUGCGUUAAUAACUAAUACACUCCGUCACUUAAUAUAGUGUGUUAGAGUGCCUCAAAAUAAAUGCAUUGAAUGAUAUCUGAGCAGUGUAAUUGUUGGAAUUUUACAAAUUAUACUUGGCUGGCAAUGAAACACCGCAUCUAUUGCAGUUUGCAGUCUUUUAGUCCUUACAAGACUGACGCCCGGUGGCAUUUCAAUUUACUACCACGUAGUUGAACUAACUUAUAACGAGCAACUACUGACAAUAGUUGGAACACUAAUAACAUAACCGCAAUAUAUUGCAUUGACCAACUUAAGAUAACGAAAGAAAAAAUAUAUUUGUUUGUAAUUAUCUGUAGUGAUAAUAAUAUCAAAAAGUAUCAUCUCGGAAGUACAGCGAGUUCAUGGAACCCCCUUACACCUGGUGGGCGGUUCUAUUAUGAGCUCGCUGCUCAAGCCGCACCAUAUUGAAAAUGUUUUACAAGAUAUUUGACUCUAAGUCUGUUGACACUUAUAAUGUAACAUUCCAUACUUUAAUAAAUAACACCUAAGAGUGCUGAAAUUUAGAGUCAGAUAUCAUAAUGUAUAUUCAAAUAUAAUUUGGACAAUGUAUUUUAAUGUUAUUAUGUGAUAAGGACUUGUAAUUAUCUUUAAUGGUCUUAUGACCUAAAAAAACGAUGAAGAAUAAUUUGCAAUCACGAUGUUAGCAGUUAUUUGUAUAUUACGAACAAUUUGUCUCUGUUUAAGGUAAUAUGUAUCGAUAAAUUAUGAUACAGUAGAACCUCUAAAAGUUUAAGUUCAAGAAAAACUAUAAUAAAGUUCCAGUUAUAAAAAGUACAUAAGUGUACGUAGUAUUAAGUGUUUAAACCAGACUAAACCUAUAAAAUGUUAUACAUCCACAUUUUUACUUUACAACAGUUUCGUUUACAUGUUUUUGAAGAUUUAAUAACAGUUUGGCAAGUCAUAAAAAUGGCAUGUUUAUAAAUAUUAAUCUUUGCUCUUUCCUAUUGCUAAACUAAAUUGUAGAUUGUGACUCUGACCGUGAAUACAAAACCGUGCUUAAAUUACACGGAAUAUUUUUUAAACAGACGGGCAGAUAACCAAUUUUGCUAACUACUAUAUUAUUUAUUCUCCGAUAAUUGUUAAUUUUCCUAGAGCUCUUGCAAUCGAAACGUAAAGUACUAGGUACUAGUAAUAAUUUGAGGUUUUAUGUUACCGUGUAUUUAAAUUAUUGAGGUUUUACCGUAUAUACUUACAUAUUUAACGUUUGAAUUUGUGUGUUGAAUAUAUAUAUAUGAAUUCAUGUUGGUGUAACAUUUUCACGCGAUAAUAAAUAUUCAAUAUUAUGCUGGACAAGAAGUAGUAUCGUCGUGUGUGAAGUGCAGCAGUGCGGUGGCGAGCGAUGUCAUUGGCGGACGUAGCCGUCGCCGCCUGUUGCGCUGCACCGCGACCGGCAGAUUCCGCUUGCAUCGGCAAUCUAAUGGAGUAUGAUAAACAGUUACUUUCACUACCACAGAGAUGUACAUAUAAAGCAUGUUGUUUAUUCCUCCCAAAUAUAAGCAAGAGAGGUACAUUGAUUUGGAACGUGUUUAGGAUGCAGAAAUAGUUUUAGUUGAUUAAUUGUAUCGUUGUGAAGUAGUGUUAAGUUGAGGGUAGGCGCGGGCGGCGCGCGGCCACGAGACUGAACUACACCCCUGCCGUCGCGCCCCCGCGCCCAUUACUUACAUGUCAUUCUCGCUAAUAAUAUACUUUAUCAUUCUUGUUUGACGAUCUACUGUUAUUUACAUUAUAAUAUUACUUUCUCAUGUGUGUAACCACUUUUGUGUAUUAGACGUGUGAACGACCGAAUUUUAUUUCAUUUAUUUUGUGCAUGAUUGUAUUUGAAAAUAGGUAGUAGAAAUCUAAUGUGACCGAUUUAUUUACAAAUUAGAUAAUUCAUUAUUGAAGUUAUUUUUAUCAGACCAUGAUACCUAUGUAUUUUUUAUUUGAAUUAAUUUCAAUUUAUUGUUAAACUUUUAUUUAGUGGGGAAAUGGAGCACUUAUUCUGUUGUUCGUACGUUACACCCUUCAAUAUAAUUAAAGUUUCUUGCAGUUAAAUAGUGUUUAAUGUACGUAUGUAUUUAUGUACGUUACUGGAACUUGUAAGAGUGCAGAGGCACGUAGCGGACGAAGGCAGUGUCGCCGAUACGAGGUGAACCGGCUCGGUGUUUGUGUAGGCCCGCACGUCGCGUCGCGCCCUGUGAUAAUAGAUUUUAAGGGGCAGCCUACGCAUGUGCACGACGCACACAUACACACGUACGCGCCGGGUCGGAUUCACCUCACGCGACACUCGCAUUUAGAUAUCGAGAAGCUAUUAUUGUUACUUCUCAAACUUAUUAAGGUCCAAUGUACAAUUGAUUUUCGGUUUUUUUUUGCAAGUAACUGUUCAUACUGGAUGUUUUUAACAUACAUAUUCCACCAAAAUUUUACUUUGAAUUUUACUGUUAUUUUUAGAGAACCAUUUAUAAUUGGUAUAAGUUUUGAAACUAAUAACUACCUCAAUAUUACUAAAUGAAUAUGAUAAUUAUCUUUGUGCAUGUUUUUGGGAACUGAAUUUAAAAUAUUCAAUAUAGUAUAAGGAUGCUAUUUUAAAACAUCGUAAUGGAAAAUUGUCAAAAUUAGGUUUCUUAACGUAAUAAAAGUGAGAAAAUUUAA
RNA transcript from Galleria mellonella (greater wax moth), 8245 nucleotides. It is a transcript of the gene named insulin-like growth factor 2 mRNA-binding protein 1, with no coding region annotated. The transcript is spliced from 9 exons. The record is from RefSeq and is a predicted model, not a curated record. Lineage: Eukaryota; Metazoa; Arthropoda; Insecta; Lepidoptera; Pyralidae.